Solanum dulcamara is the source of this 490-nucleotide long non-coding RNA. RefSeq lists it as uncharacterized. The record is from RefSeq and is a predicted model, not a curated record. NCBI's taxonomy places the organism in Eukaryota, Viridiplantae, Streptophyta, Magnoliopsida, Solanales, Solanaceae. The transcript has 2 exons.
CCUUUCUUUUAUAUAUCCACCGAAAACCUAGGGUUUUUCAUUUUGAGCUUUUGACUAUUUCCUUUUACAUCGCCGCUUGAAGCUGUUGCUAGCCUGAAUUUUCGUUUCUUCUUGCUUUGUGUCAUCUACACUUAUUAUGAUGUUGAUACCUCCAUUCCUUCUAAGCUCACAGAAAGUUGCACUCCAGUGAUACAAUAGGUUCCUAGGUGGAAUCGGUAGAGGUGCCAAGUUUGGUGAGCUUGUAUUGAUGCUUUGUGCAAGUUUCCUGCCUUAUCCUUCUUACAUUCUCCUUCUUUCUCAGUAUCUUGACUUCAUCCUUGUUUCUUCAGUUGAAGCAGUUGCGGAGACACCAGAAUGCUCUUGACCUUUCUUGCAAAUAGGGGUGGACAUUCGAUCGGUUUGACUUGAUUUGGAAAGUUCGAUUCGAUUUUUCGGUGUUCGAUCUAGUAAAAAUAAAAAUUGAAAUCGAAUUGAGAUUAAUUCGGUUCGA